GCGCAGCAGGCGAGAAACCUUCGCAAUGCGGGAAACCGCGACGAGGGGACUCCCAGUGCCUACGCUCAGCGUAGGCUGUUCCCGAGCCUAGAAAGCUCGGGGAGUAAGGGCUGGGUAAGACGGGUGCCAGCCGCCGCGGUAAUACCCGCAGCCCGAGUGGUGGCCACUAUUAUUGGGCCUAAAGCGUCCGUAGCCGGCCCGGUAAAUGCCUGGGUAAAUCGUGAGGCCUAACCUCACGAAUUCCGGGUAGACUGCCGGGCUAGGGACCGGAGGAGGGAGAGGGUACUCCAGGGGUAGGGGUGAAAUCCUGUAAUCCCUGGAGGACCACCGGUGGCGAAGGCGCUCUCCUAGGACGGGUCCGACGGUGAGGGACGAAAGCCAGGGGAGCGAACCGGAUUAGAUACCCGUGUAGU
This 413-nucleotide ribosomal RNA is filed under the name uncultured microorganism. Its description in RNAcentral is "bacterial SSU rRNA". It matches the Rfam family "Archaeal small subunit ribosomal RNA", at positions 330 to 745 of the family's 1478-position model. The record is from RNAcentral.